Long non-coding RNA from Symphalangus syndactylus (siamang), 1502 nucleotides. RefSeq lists it as uncharacterized. NCBI's taxonomy places the organism in Eukaryota, Metazoa, Chordata, Mammalia, Primates, Hylobatidae. The record is from RefSeq and is a predicted model, not a curated record.
UGCCCAUUGGAGGCAUUUCCAGCACCGAUGGAUAGAGAAGCUAACCUAUAGGGAGCACUUGAGUGAAUAUUCUAGAGUCCUCCCAGACGAUCUGGGCCCUGUCACAGGAGAACAAAGAAGGAAGGCAGAGGAGAUCAUGCUCCAGCCAGCAGGGAAUCUCCAUUUUUUUCAGCCUCAUACCUUGGAAAGUACAAAGGAGUGAGAGCUGGGACCACCAGCCAGAGGGUUCAUGGAGGUAGUGGGAGGGGAAGAUGGGUUCUGCAUGGAGCCACUCCAGGGACUUUUCUUCUCUCUCACAGCCUGACAAUCACCUCUAGCCAUUCCCAGUCCCAUUCUCAUCUGAUGAGCUCGUCUCCUGUUUUUGUACUAUAUCUAUGAGACCUUCUCUUCUUUCCAUCUUCAAACGCUUGAUCAUUGAUGCUCCCUUUUCUCUUUUCUCUCCUCCUGGGAAAAGAGCAGGACCAAUAUCCCCCUUUCCCUUCCUCCUGUGUUGUCCCGACCCCUCUGAGACCUGGCUGUAGCAGUAAGUCCCUCUCUCUUCUGCAGCACCAGCCUCUGCCCAUCCCUUCCCUCUGCACACAAAGCUCUCACAUUGCACUUCAAGAAAUUUUGUGGCAAACCCUGGCAAAUCCCGCCACUUGUUUCCACUCUACUCAAAUGGCUUUGAGGUCACCAGUGACCUAUCCCUAUCCUGUAUCUGAUGUUGUACCCUUUCUCCCCAAUCCCACUCUGGCAACUCUCCCACUCCCCUUUCUUGGAUCAACUGUCUUGCUCCUCAGUCUCGAUCAAUGCCUCCUUCUCUCUCUUUAGCCUUGGCCCUUUUUGGCCAGGGAAAUAAAUGUGAAAUACAUGAAGCUUCAUUUUAUCUUAUGAUUACAGCUAUGUUGAUGUUACCCAAGACCUAAAAGUCACACUCUCUAAUUACACUUCCCUUCUGUGUUCUGGAUCCUCUUGGACCAGUCCUUACUCUGGCUCCCCUCCUGGAUGUCUCCCAGACUUCUAAUUGGAAUUACUGUUUCCUACAUCAAGCUAAUUGUCUUUCCCGCCAACCUCCUCCAUCCUUGGGUGAAAGCAUCACUUGGUUGCAAAAGUCAGAAAUCUGGGUUUCAUUCUUGCUGUAACUAGAAUAAUGCCUGCAGGCCCCAGAUAUUGACAUCCGAAUCCCUGGGAUUUUGCAGAUGUGAUCCAGUUUAGGAUUUUGAGAUGGGGAGAUUAUCUGGGAGAGCCUGAUGUCAUCACAAGGUUCUUAUAAGAGGGAGGCAGGAGGGUUAGAGUGAGUAGUAAGAGAUGCAACAGUGGAAGCAAAAGGUUGGGGUGAUGUGGCCACAAGCCCAGGAGUGCUGAUGGACACCAGAAGCUGGAAGGGACAAGGAAUCAUUUCUCCUCUGGAGCCUCCAGAAAGAACCAGCCCUGCUGACACCUUGAUUUUAGCCUUGGAAGACUCAUUUUGGACUUCUGACCUUGAAAGUUGUAAGAGAAUAAAUUUACAUAUUUUAAACUGG